AGUGAACGCUGGCGGUAGGCCUAACACAUGCAAGUCGAACGGCAGCACAGUAAGAGCUUGCUCUUACGGGUGGCGAGUGGCGGACGGGUGAGGAAUACAUCGGAAUCUACUUUUUCGUGGGGGAUAACGUAGGGAAACUUACGCUAAUACCGCAUACGACCUACGGGUGAAAGCAGGGGAUCUUCGGACCUUGCGCGAUUGAAUGAGCCGAUGUCGGAUUAGCUAGUUGGCGGGGUAAAGGCCCACCAAGGCGACGAUCCGUAGCUGGUCUGAGAGGAUGACCAGCCACACUGGAACUGGGACACGGUCCAGACUCCUACGGGAGGCAGCAGUGGGGAAUAUUGGACAAUGGGCGCAAGCCUGAUCCAGCCAUACCGCGUGGGUGAAGAAGGCCUUCGGGUUGUAAAGCCCUUUUGUUGGGAAAGAAAAGCAGCAGGUUAAUACCCCGCUGUUCUGACGGUACCCAAAGAAUAAGCACCGGCUAACUUCGUG
This 492-nucleotide ribosomal RNA is filed under the name uncultured bacterium. Its description in RNAcentral is "partial 16S ribosomal RNA". It matches the Rfam family "Bacterial small subunit ribosomal RNA", at positions 29 to 507 of the family's 1533-position model. The record is from RNAcentral.